Molecule: ribosomal RNA, 500 nt
Filed under: uncultured bacterium
Lineage: Bacteria
Description: bacterial SSU rRNA
Rfam family: Bacterial small subunit ribosomal RNA
Source: RNAcentral
CAGGAUGAACGCUAGCGGCAGGCUAACACAUGCAAGUCGAGGGGCGAGCGGGGAGUAGCAAUACUCGUGCCGGCGACCGGCGGAAGGGUGCGUAACGCGUGAGCAACCUGCCCUAACCGGGACAUAACCGAUGGAAACGUCGCCUAAUUUCCCAUAACAACAGGGUCGGCAUCGACCUUGUUUGAAAGCUACGGUGGUUACGGAUGGGCUCGCGAGACAUUAGCUGGUUGGUAGGGUAACGGCCUACCAAGGCUACGAUGUCUAGGGGUUCUGAGAGGAAGGUCCCCCACACUGGAACUGAGACACGGUCCAGACUCCUACGGGAGGCAGCAGUGAGGAAUAUUGGUCAAUGGGCGGAAGCCUGAACCAGCCAUGCCGCGUGCAGGAAAUAAGGCCCUAUGGGUCGUAAACUGCUUUUGUGCGGGAGCAAUAAGGGCUACGUGUAGCCUGAUGAGAGUACCGUACGAAUAAGCAUCGGCUAACUCCGUGCCAGCCGCCGC